Molecule: long non-coding RNA, 537 nt
Filed under: Parus major (Great Tit)
Lineage: Eukaryota; Metazoa; Chordata; Aves; Passeriformes; Paridae
Description: lncRNA (ENSPMJG00000002161.1)
Source: RNAcentral
CACAGCAGCACCACAAGCUCCCCAGCGCGAGAGGAGGGGACGCGGCCCCUGGCACAGGCCCUGCCGGGACAGACGCUGUCCUCUCCACACCAGAGCCCAGCCAGCUGCCGGGAAGGAGCGUUAAAGAACACGGAGUGCAGAGGGCAGGGGAUGUGCUGGGCUCCCCUCCCAGGCUGAAGUUGUCCAUCCAGCCAAACAGGUCAUGAUGCAGGUCUCAGUGACACCCAGCCAUACAGCAUGGAGGACUCUAGCUUCCUCUCCCCCAUCAGCUCCCAAGGCCCAUCUGGAGGAAUCAUGAGGGGCGUUCUCACAUCCUGCUCCCUGAAGAAGCCGGUCCUGCUCGCUGAGCGCUCACCAACGUCACGCCAAGGGAUGACGCAAGCCAUGACUGCUGUCCAGGUCCAAAGGUACAUCAGCACAGUGACUCUGCUCAGUGUUACAUCACAUUGCUGAAGUGAGCACCAGGAAUUACACAAACAUAAGGAGACCUUGGACUCCCUUCAGGUUUUCACCCAACUUCUUCAAACUCCUACUGCU